GACGUUCGCGGCGCUCGCUGCGAGGCGGGAGCGGCUCUGCGGGGUGAGGCUGACACCUGGCGGCCGCCUCUGCGCCGCUCGGGGCACGUCCGGCCUUGUCUGAGACGGGCGGUUCGGUUCACCGAAUCGGAGUAUCUCGGGUUGGAAGGGAGCCAUAAGGAUCAUCGAGUCCAGCUCCUGGCUCCACACAGCGUCAUCCCAAAUCCAAACCCUAUGUCUGAGAGUGCUGUCCUAAUGCUGAUUGAACUUCGGCAGCCUGGGGCCGUGCCCACCGCGCUAGAACCCUUUCCCUAAGCCCAGCUGCUCCUCCCCUGACGCAGCUCCACGCCAUUCCCUCGGGCUCCGUCGCUGUCACACAGGGCAGAGCUCAGCGCUGCCCCUCCGCUCCCUGUGAGGAGCUGCAGCCAUGAGGCCUCCCCUCAGCUCCUCUGCUCUGGGCUGAGCAAACGCAGGGUCCUCAGCUGCUUCCCAGCUUCCCCUCCAUGACCCUUCACCAUCCUUGUACCCUCCCUUUGGACACUCUAUGAUAGUUUUAUGUCCUUUUUGCACUGGAGUGCCCCAAACAGCACGCAGUACUUUCCCUAUAAUUUCCUACUGUACAUUAUAAUUGUUCCAUGGAGCUCAUGGCUGAUGUUGCACAAUACAAACAUAUCAUUAGAAAAGCAAAUAUGCUCCGAAUUGGAGCUUUUGAUUCUAACUUCCCAGACUCCUCAUUCAUAAAGUUUGAUGCAUAGGAAAAAUUCAGUGGUGAACACUGGCCGGUUAGGCAUGCUGUUGGACUCUAAUUUCUGAGUGAAUCAAGCUUUUUACAUUUCUUUAAAAAUAAAGUUUUAUUUUCUUUAUUAUUAUUAUUAUUAUUGAGGCAGAGAAUGAAUAUGUAACAAAUAAUCUCCUCUAGGCAGAGCCUAUCUGAAGCUUAUGGCUUAUUAAGCAUCAUACAUAUGACCAGUGCUUAAAAAAUACCAUAACUAAAUCCAGCGAGAGGAUGCACAUAAAUCCUCAAUGCUAUCUAUUCUCCAGGCACUAGCAAGGGCACAGUGAAAUUGUGGGGGAGCUGCAGGUGCACCGCAACGCGGGUAAUUCCUGAAAGCCUUGUGUCUGUCAGCUCCCAAGGGCAGGCGGAACAUCUCAGUGCCAUGGAAAGGAUUUCUCCAAUGACAAGUGGUUUGUGUGUCUCCUUUGUGGGGGUACAGCAUAAACUCCCUCUAUUUAGUUUGGUAGCUGAUGGGAGAGAGAGAGAGCGGAGCUUUAGCUGCCCUCCCUUCUGCUCCAUUUUCCUUUGAAAAGUGUUCUGCUUCUGGCAUUAUUAACUCUGAAACUCCCCAUACAGCUGUGGGCUGCGAGGACUGGAUCUUCUAUGCAACCAUGGAAGAGGCACAAAGGUUUCCUUGUGACCACUCACUCUUUUUGUGUCCCUACAAAAGCCCGCUCACAAUGUAGUAUGCUGUUAAUAGCUAAAGCACAAGAUGUGGUAAUGUAAAUGAAGCCUGAGCAGCUGAAACGAAGGUUUCGGGGAGACUGGGGUCUAAAUGAUUGUGCUUUAUCUUCCUUAUUGAGUAACUGCCACAUGACUGUUUUGGCUUAAUCCCUUCAUAGCACUUUAGGCAGAGGCAAUUCGUUCAGAUGUUUAAACAUAUAUUCAUUAUAUGCUGUAUGUGCUCAGAUGUCCUUGUAUGUGAAUAUGGCUUUGUUAGUACUCUGUCCUCAAGUAUAUAUAUCACCUGUCUGUUUGAUUACUGAGGAAUUUUGGCAAAGUUUUGGCUUUGUUGCAAGACUGUACCUCCCAUUCCCUGAACUGACAUUAUAUUCUUCUCAUUAACAUGUACAAAAAUGCACUUUUUUUUUUUUUUGGCUUGUUUACUAAGGGAUUAUUAAGAAUUUGCAAAACACCAGCAUGCAAGCAAAGGAACUGAGCAUCAUUGAGACUAUGUGUGCAGUAGAGAUCCAAAGAGCUUUGGGUUUUUCAAAGAAACGAGAGUCGGGGGCCCCUGAGAAGUGUACGCAUGCCAUGAAUGCCCCUUCUGUUUGUCAGCUCUGCAGCAGUGUCAAAGAAGCUCCUAUCUCUGACAGGCAGACCUGACAGACAGCAUUGUUCAUUCGGUUUUUAUUCAAUAUAAGGGUCACAGAUCCCAGUGUCAGGAUAAAGUAAGACUAAGUAAGUGUCUGAUUGAUCCUGCACUUCUAGGACAUGGCAGUCUGGGAUGUGGGUACUAGAUGUAAUUCAGAUUUUGCAAGCAUGGGAUAAAGACUCUGAAAUGAAGUUGAAAGAUAGGAAUUGUUUGUUAGGGUGGAGGCAAGCCACAGUAAGGAUUUAAAUCUAUUUCUACAUAUAAAAUAUGUAGCCUGCAUACAGUUCCUAAUUUUCAUUUUUAUUUUCUAUGACAUCUUGCCAAGUUGAGGGAACAGUAGUGAGACAAACUGAUGCCAUAGAGCCUGUGAAAAAAGGAAGGUAAGAAGAAAUCUGAUCUUCUUGGCACUGUGCAAAAAUCCUGAUAAAUUCAUCAUCAGCCACUGUGGAACUGUGCUGUUUCAGAACAACUGACAACCUCAUCAUGCUGGUUCUUUUAUUCUGGGAAAGAAUUUCUGUUCUUUACCUGAUACAUUCUGCUAAAUUGGGUGUUUGUGGCUUCUACGAAAAUGAACCAUAGUAAAUUAUUAUUGUUACAGAGAUGUGGGUAUGUGAGCCUAGUAUGGUCUCACAUCACUGUAAUUGUAGAUCUCAUUUAAAGGAGCCAUAUACAACAAGGAAUAAAUAUAGUGGACAGCAUUUUCCUCACCAGCCAAAGAAGACAUCCAAAGUGUCAUUAACUUGUAGUGGAAACUAGUCCUUUAAAAUGCUCAGCUGCCCCUGAACCUCCCUCUUCAAGUGAUCCCCCUGAACUGCAAAGAAAAAGAAGUUUCUGCACAGAUGUUGCCUGAGAACACCUGUGUAUAACUAAGCAUAAGGAGGGGGUUGGAGCUUGAUGAUCUUUGAGGUUCCUUCCAACCCAUGCCAUUCUUUGAUAAAGCUGGACAAUCACUAUAGACAAACAGAAGCAAAUGAGGGUUCUCUAAUAUCAAGUUUCUAUUGCCCUUCUUCUAUCCAAAGACCCCUGAGAAUCAGGCUAGAACAGUUACACACAAAACUUUUAAGAAAGUCAACCAACACAAAUGUUCUUCAUUGGAAGUUCAUAAUGAAUGUUGAAUUGCUUUGUUGUCACAGACCAGCUCACAGUUGUGCAUUUCAAUUUGCAUCUCAGUGCCAGCAGAACUCAUGUUUCCUUAGAGAAGGAUGUAUUUUGAAGUAAGCGUUCCAAAUGCUUAUAAAUUCAGCUCCUAAUGAUAGAGUCACUGUGAAGUUAUUGUUUAGACAGUGGCUGAGAUUUGAAGUCACCUCUGGAAACUGCGUUGCCCAAGAUCCCCCUCAAGGAUUGGUCAGCAGGAGCGGGUUGCUCAGAUUCUGUCCAGUUGGGUUUCGAGUAACUCCAAGAAUCAAGGCUCCAUGAUUGAUUUGGGCAGCCUGUGCUGGUGUUUGAGGACCCUCACCUUAAGAAAGGUUUUCCUUGUAUUUGGGUGGAAUUUCUUGUAUUUGAAUUUAUGCCACUUGCCUUUUGUCCUGUCACUGAGAACCACUGAGAAAAGUGUGGCUCGUACUACUUUAGGCACACUCUUCAGGUCUUUAUGGACAUUGAUGAGAUCCCCCUGGUCCUUCUCUUCUCCAGGCUGAGCAGCCCCAUCAGAGUAAAGGUGGCAGUCUGGGAACUCUGCAUCUGAAAUCAGUUCUGGAACUGACAUAUUUGAGAAAAUUGGAGUGAAAUUCCAUGCUGUGUCUCUAUAGUAGAAGCACAAGGGUCAUGACCCAGGUGGAAGAUAGGUUAAAGUAACUUCAAGAUACUUUUGUGCUCCUUUAACCUUGGAUUGCCCUGGGGUCUGCUGAAAGCUCUAGCGUAAUCUAUUCAGCUAAAAUUGUGGCUCCUCCACAGUGUCCUAAGGGGAUGUGAAAUAGGAUUGCAUGAAAUAGAAAUGUCAUGGCUGAAAUAGCCGUAAUGCCAUUCCUCUUGUCCCCACUCCAAACUGUAGCACGCUUGUUAUACUAGACCUUGAGAAAGAAUGUUAGGAACAAGGCUUUUUGCUUUUUUUAGUGCUUCUACUAAGGAAAUCUGACAUGUUUUGAGGGAUUUUUAGGGCCCCUUUAGACCUCUGUGUUGCUUCUUCAUGGAUAACAGUGAAGAUGAGUCUUUUCUGUUUAAUCCCUCUAAGUCUCAGGUAUAAGAUGUUUUUCUUUUUACUUGUCCCUAAGUAGUAAGCCUUUUAGAUUUGAUUUGGAUUUUAUUCCACAUGUUGGCCCUGUCUGAGAGGAGUCUAGAUUUUUCUCUGAGGAUGUCUAACAAUGCUGGAAAGUAAAUAAUCAGGACAAAACAGAAUGCUUGACUUUGUAUUAGGUCAUUUUACUUUUCAGGAGUGAAAAGUGCAGGAAGGCUAGGGGAGGCAGAAAAUGACUCAAUUUAACUAUGGUGCUUUCUGGUUGUGCGGACAUCAUUCGGAAACAUCACCACAAUGAAAUAUAGGUCUUUGUUCUCUGUCUGUGAAGGAAUUCUGUCUUCCCUGAAGAUGGAGGCAAAAUUCAAGAGGUACUGGACUGCACCUGAGGAUUGCUUUGUCUACAGCAACAGCAUGAGCAAAUGAUGUCCAGGAUCUGUGUCUCUCCUUACACCAUCAAGACUGCAGGGACACUGGGGCCAGCUGGCAUUUGCUAAAGCUACAUGAAACGCAAAUGGAUAUACAGAAGAAUGCUUUCAUUUGUAGUUACGUCAAGUGGAGAUGUAACACUAGGAACAUAAGGAUGUUUGUUGAUGCAAGGACCACCAGGCACUGAGCACUGGAAUUUUGCUCAAAGGAAGCAAGCCAGAUGGGAAGAGAAAAGAAAUCCCCAGCUUUCAAGUGUCACAUCAUCACAGGCAAUAAGUCCAUGAGUGUUGUAGAUGACUGGAAUAAUCCUCUGCAUGGGAAGUCUCCUAAGGAAAAGGGAUUUCACUUGGUACUAUUAUAGUUGCCUUGGUUUAAAGCAGAGAUGAAUUCAGGACUGUAAAUUUUAUGCUAAUGGUCUUUGUCCUCCAGUCAAUACAGAAGGAACAGAUUGGAUUAUCAUCAGAAAAGCUCAAGUGGUUUGAUUUACCUGAAGUGAUACUCAUUGUUUGUUCAGAAUUAGACUGAUGAAAAAGGAGGUUGAUUGGACAAAACCUCUUUUCAAAUUCUAUGGCUUGAGAAUCCAUUUUAACUGAUUUUUCCAGAAAUGUGUCAAAAUAAAUUUGAAAGACAAUACUUAUAACUACUAAAAUAACUACUGCUAUUUCAUGUGGUUAUGGAGCAGUCACAGUGAUAUGCCUUUAAAAUUUUUCUUAUUGCUUUAACCAUCCAUCUAGAUGCUGUGAAGUAUUUGCUUAUGUAAUAUCAAAACACUUGUUAAAUUUUCUACCCUUCCUCCCCUUGUCUGCUUUUUGUUGUUUAGAAGAACACUACAUCUAGUAUUUAAAGUGUUUUGGAAACAUAAAGGAUAAAAUUACUUAGCAUGACUUGAUUUUUAGUGACAAUGUUUGCUGAUGUGCUAGUUGGAAUUUACCAAAUAGUAGUUGGAAUUUUUUUGAACCUGAUCAUUGUUUUUCAAAAUGUUCACCCUUGGAGGCAACAAUUUCAGAACUAAGCUUUUGUUGAUAUUUGAGCAUGAAUCAUCUUUGGAAUGUCUGAGGAGAGCAUUGGCUUCUCUAUUUUUAAGUUAAGGUGGAAUGAAAUAACAAAGAACAAUUCAUUCAUUGCAAAAAGAAAACCUUCAUGUAAUGCAUGGUAGUGAUAGCCAGUGAAACAGGCAGAUCUGUGAUAGUUACAGAUAGUUAUAAAUUUCUUUUUCCAUUCUUCUGUGCUGAAAUCAUAAAUUAACUUUUAAGAUGUUUUUCUUGCAGAAUAUAUUGGGCUUUGUAGAUCUUAAGAAAUAGUAUCUACUAACAUAAAAGAUGAUUUUCUUAGUGAUUCAAGAGAAUGUUGCACAUGGACACAUGCUAGGGAUACUCUGAAAAGCUGCUCUAUACCUAAUACAGCUGAUGAAUACAGUUGUAAUGAAUGAUACAUAAUGCAUGCAGAUUUGAAGUUUGUUUCCAGUCUUGUAUGAACUGUAAAUAAAUACGUUGACCACU
Molecule: long non-coding RNA, 6167 nt
Organism: Gallus gallus (chicken)
Lineage: Eukaryota; Metazoa; Chordata; Aves; Galliformes; Phasianidae
Exons: 5
Source: RefSeq, a predicted model, not a curated record